Molecule: non-coding RNA, 474 nt
Organism: Paramuricea clavata
Lineage: Eukaryota; Metazoa; Cnidaria; Anthozoa; Malacalcyonacea; Plexauridae
Source: the annotation of a GenBank genome assembly
GUUAAGAAUCCAUAGUUAUGGAGGAACGUGUAUCGUAACUGAGGUUACGGAAAAACGGAUCUAUAUGUAGAAUGAGUAUGCGCGCAUGAGUAUUAGAUAGGUUUGAUAGAGUUAAUGGGUUGUGUCUGAUCAACCAGCCCAGGUGUCUUAGGUAGAAGAUAUCAACAAUUCUAGAGAAAUACCUGUAAAUGAUAAGAUAAGAAGAAAGAUCCGUAUAUGUCAUGGAUGGCAUUCAAUGAGGAGGGGAGAGUGAUACCGUAAUGAACGAUAAUAUAUGCGAACAGUUUAGAGACUGGUACGAGCGACCAGCGGCGCGCCUCGCGUGCUCAGAAAACGUUCGAGAAACGUUGCGUUUUGAACUAGUGUUAUUCUAGAAUAUAUCUUAGUAUUAUAAACAUAUUUGAAGCGAUUCUAUACAUAAUAAAACGAUAAAAGUCAUAAAACAUCGUGUGUAGUAUCGAGUAAAGUCAACAC